GAUGAACGCUAGCGAUAGGCUUAACACAUGCAAGUCGAGGGGCAGCAUGGUCUUAGCUUGCUAAGACUGAUGGCGACCGGCGCACGGGUGCGUAACGCGUAUGCAACUUGCCUCACAGAGGGGGAUAACCCGUCGAAAGACGGACUAAUACCGCGUACACUUGGGAUAGGGCAUCCUGACCCAAGGAAAUGUAAUUCGCUGUGAGAUAGGCAUGCGUCCCAUUAGCUAGUUGGUGAGGUAACGGCUCACCAAGGCGACGAUGGGUAGGGGAACGGAGAGGUGGAACCCCCACACUGGAACUACGGCACGGACCAGACUGGUACGGAGGACAGCGGUAAGGAAUAUUAGUCGAUGAAGGAGAGCCUGAACCAGCCGAGUCGCGUGAAGAAUGACUGUCUUAUGGAUUGUAUGCUUCUUUUAUACAAGAAUAGCAAGAGCCACGUGUGGCUCCCUGCAUGUACCGAAUGAAUAAGCAUCGGCUAACUCCGUG
RNAcentral lists this ribosomal RNA (490 nucleotides) under uncultured bacterium. Its description in RNAcentral is "partial 16S ribosomal RNA". It matches the Rfam family "Bacterial small subunit ribosomal RNA", at positions 28 to 507 of the family's 1533-position model. The record is from RNAcentral.